This 464-nucleotide ribosomal RNA is filed under the name Streptococcus sp. oral taxon C08. RNAcentral describes it as "bacterial SSU rRNA". It matches the Rfam family "Bacterial small subunit ribosomal RNA", at positions 28 to 475 of the family's 1533-position model. The record is from RNAcentral. Lineage: Bacteria; Bacillati; Bacillota; Bacilli; Lactobacillales; Streptococcaceae.
GACGAACGCGGCGGCGUGCCUAAUACAUGCAAGUAGAACGCUGAAGCUUGGUGCUUGCACCGAGCGGAUGAGUUGCGAACGGGUGAGUAACGCGUAGGUAACCUGCCUGGUAGCGGGGGAUAACUAUUGGAAACGAUAGCUAAUACCGCAUAAGAGUAGAUGUUGCAUGACAUUUGCUUAAAAGGUGCAAUUGCAUCACUACCAGAUGGACCUGCGUUGUAUUAGCUAGUUGGUGAGGUAACGGCUCACCAAGGCAACGAUACAUAGCCGACCUGAGAGGGUGAUCGGCCACACUGGGACUGAGACACGGCCCAGACUCCUACGGGAGGCAGCAGUAGGGAAUCUUCGGCAAUGGACGGAAGUCUGACCGAGCAACGCCGCGUGAGUGAAGAAGGUUUUCGGAUCGUAAAGCUCUGUUGUAAGAGAAGAACGAGUGUGAGAGUGAAAAGUUCACACUGCGACGG